Molecule: transfer RNA, 67 nt
Filed under: Pheidole smythiesii
Lineage: Eukaryota; Metazoa; Arthropoda; Insecta; Hymenoptera; Formicidae
Description: tRNA-Arg
Source: RNAcentral
UUUCUUAAAGUAAAUAACUUACAUUUAAUUUCGACUUAAAACUUUGUUUCUAAAAAAACUAAGAAUU